This is a long non-coding RNA of Cygnus olor (mute swan), 2083 nucleotides long. RefSeq lists it as uncharacterized. The record is from RefSeq and is a predicted model, not a curated record. Lineage: Eukaryota; Metazoa; Chordata; Aves; Anseriformes; Anatidae. The transcript is spliced from 3 exons.
AGCCUGAGCAACAAGAGAAUUCCCACCACGCAAGUCAGCACAGCAACCCUAUUAUUGUCCAGCUUACCAGGAAAAAAAGACGGGUGUUGCUGGAACAACUGUAACCAGAAUAACUUAAGGAAAGGGUAAAAAGCUAUGAGUAACUCCAUGUGUCAUGCCCAGCCCCGCCGCUGCUCGCCACCUCCAACCGAGCGCAUGGCCGAACGUCACUGCUGCUCGAAGGAAUGAACCACAGCUUGACCUCCAACCUGCAGAAAUACUCCGAGGACAUCUCCCCAGACGAAACGACAAUUAAAACCAGAACCAGCGCAUACGCACGUUCCCUGCGCGGACAGAUGCUGGAGGUUUUUUCCGUGCCAGCCGUCCCGAGGCAACGCAGUACGCAGCGCUGUGACUUGUAGCUGCAAAAAUGUGAGAAAUGGCCAAGUUUCCAGAAUGCAUCACAAACCAAACCGAAGCCUCCUCUGCAGCCUUACGGUUCUCUCUUGCCUUUUCUCUCACAAAUCAUUGCAUUUUAGUGCGUUUAGUCAUCUUCCUAAAUUCGGCUGCGAAUCGGACCGCUCUUAACCAAGCGCUGGGAAGUUCUUCCCCUGCACCAUGCAGGCACAACCAGGGACCUUCUGAAAGGAAAACCAGGACAUAAGCAGGUAUUCCCCUUAUGAGGGCUAUUCCAGGCCGUAAAAAGAUGAUCAGUGAGUAUUUUCACAUGCUCUGCAUGAUGCCACCAACUAACAAUGAAGAGCACUUGUGACCUCAGAUCAACAAAAGCUCUCAAAGCAUCUUUUUUUUUGACCCAGAUUAAGCACGGCAUGAAUAAAUCCAGCCAACCCCACGAUAAUUUAAGCAUAUGUCUAAAAUGAAAUACAAGAUUGAAUGUUCUUCUGGCUCAGGGCAUACUUUAAACCCCUUUCAUUAUAUGGUUUCCAGUGCAAGACAAAAUCACAACGCUGAAAAAAAAGGAGUAGACUGGAAGAGAACCAGGCUACAAAUCACAAAUUAUUUCACUGUCAGCAUCUUAUCUUUAAACCAUUCUUGCAGGGAAAGAACAGCAGGAAAGAGGCUCAAAAAUUAUUUCAAAGACACUACUGCACUGGCUGUCUGCUAGCAGAUUAAUCAUUCAUUGCCCGCUUAACAUAAAUGUAAUUGUUUUGGAAUAUUGCAAAAUUACAAGAGCGUAUAGUGACUCAAGUCGAAUCUGGCUCUUCAUUUUACAUCUGUUUUAGACUUGUUAUCUCUGCUGCAGAAAGGACCAACUUCAAGGAAAAAAAUGUCACGCAGCUGAAAGUUUAUUGAUUACCCAGACAACAACUCCGGCCCAGCCACUGCAGAUCUCUCCACGGGAUGGUAUUCACAGAAACUGCUUCUAAUGAGGAAACCUUAAGGCAAGAAAGGAAAACCUGAGGGCAGAUCAGAGGCACCAUCCUGGACCUGCAGGCCGGCCCCCUUCCAGCUCUCUGCCCCGAUGCUUCAUCCCAGACCACAACCACAUCCCGCCAAGGGGCCAGCAAGCGCCGUUGUUUUCCCUGGCACUCGCACCCCACCAGUGUCCGCCUCGAGCCCCACCUUGGAAAGGGCACGGCAAUCCUACAGCUGAAAUAACCACGGCCAGGAAACUUGCAAAAAUAGGAUUUGAGUCCUCACAACAGCGAGCUUUUCAAGGCUGUGACACAGAGGAUGCCCAGAGAAAGUGGGAAACAGCCACAAUUUCCUCAUCACCCCUGCAGGCUCCCUCCUCUACCAUCCUGGUGCUCCAGCUUGCGGACGUCCAAGUGAUGAAGGAGGUCCUGGUGAUGGAGGAGGUCUCGGUGAGGGAGAUCUCACAUGCCAACAGGAGAGGGGUCAGCCCAGCCAGGACAUGGGGAGGUGCCCAUGGUCCUGCACUCCUAUAUGUGCAGGAGUAUUCCCAAAACCCCCUGAGCACCAACUGCAAGAGUACUCACUGAUUUCCAUGACAAGCCAUAGGUGGUCCUGAGGCACCUCCAUGAGCCCUCAAUGCUUCAUGAGAUCUCCCGCUCGAUGGGAGCCACCUUCCCUCGGAAACAAAGCUUGCACAGGUUUCAGCUCGUUUCCAGUUUAAAAAUAA